AGUAACGCGUGAGGAACCUGCCUUCCAGAGGGGGACAACAGUUGGAAACGACUGCUAAUACCGCAUGAUGCAUUGAAGUCGCAUGGCUUUGAUGUCAAAGAUUUAUCGCUGGAAGAUGGCCUCGCGUCUGAUUAGCUAGUUGGUGAGGUAACGGCCCACCAAGGCGACGAUCAGUAGCCGGACUGAGAGGUUGGCCGGCCACAUUGGGACUGAGACACGGCCCAAACUCCUACGGGAGGCAGCAG
This 245-nucleotide ribosomal RNA is filed under the name uncultured bacterium. RNAcentral's name for it is "partial 16S ribosomal RNA". It matches the Rfam family "Bacterial small subunit ribosomal RNA", at positions 109 to 354 of the family's 1533-position model. The record is from RNAcentral.